CAAAGCUCUUCUCUUUCUCUCUUCCCAUCAAGCCAAUGCCUAAGUUUCUCUCCAAUCUGCUUCCCCCAUCUCUCCUUCUUUCUUCUCCAUAAGUCUAGGAGAGGUACUAAUCCUAGCACGUCUUCCAUCAAAUCUAAGAGAGUUUCUAAUCCUAAUGCCACUAUCUUUUUUUUUUUCAUAUUUCCAUCGUCUACCAUUCUUCCUUGGAG
Molecule: long non-coding RNA, 209 nt
Filed under: Elaeis guineensis (African oil palm)
Lineage: Eukaryota; Viridiplantae; Streptophyta; Magnoliopsida; Arecales; Arecaceae
Description: long non-coding RNA (EGUI_LNC080641)
Source: RNAcentral